Molecule: ribosomal RNA, 253 nt
Filed under: uncultured bacterium
Lineage: Bacteria
Description: partial 16S ribosomal RNA
Rfam family: Bacterial small subunit ribosomal RNA
Source: RNAcentral
UACGUAGGUGGCAAGCGUUGUCCGGAUUUACUGGGCGUAAAGAGCGCGCAGGCGGCCGAGUAAGUCGAAUGUGAAAGCCCCCGGCUCAACUGGGGAAGGUCAUUCGAUACUGUUCGGCUCGAAGAUAGGAGAGGGAAGCGGAAUUUCAGGUGUAGUGGUGAAAUGCGUAGAUAUCUGAAGGAACACCAGUGGCGAAGGCGGCUUUCUGGCCUAUUCUUGACGCUGAGGCGCGAAAGCCAGGGGAGCGAACGGG